Molecule: unclassified non-coding RNA, 826 nt
Filed under: Leishmania donovani
Lineage: Eukaryota; Euglenozoa; Kinetoplastea; Trypanosomatida; Trypanosomatidae
Description: gene:unknown
Source: RNAcentral
CUGGUGCUGCCAAGUCCGUCCUCUCCUCUGCCUCCGCUGCUGCGAUGUACCCCGUUGCCUCACCCCCUCCCCUCGCCUCCUUGUCUUAUCCGCGUCGAUAGUGGCUCUCGCACCGUUGUUUCGGAAGGAGACAGAGAAGUCUAUGUGUGUGUGUGUGUGUGCAUGUCGAGUCGGCGGAGCUGCGAGCCAUGCACUGAAGGGGAGGGAAAGGGUGUGACGAGACGAUAUGCAAACGUGCGUGAUUGUGUGUGCAUGUGAAGCACCUGCGACUGCUAUGGCAAAGCGCGUUGAGGCCGUAACUCAAACGGGCAGCAUGUGCAUGCAGGACGCUUCUUUCUAUUUGCCGGCGCUUCGUCCCCCGCAGCAAAACGACAAGGAGCUGAGCACGGGUGAGCGUUCCUGAUCAGCUGUCGCCUCACCCCCUCCCCUCGUUCCGCUAACGUCCUUUUGCCCUUCCCCACCAUCAAGGCAAGGAGACAAAAACAACAUCAGCCACCGCGAAACCAAAAAGAAAUGAUUGUCUUCGGAUGGGCCUCCCCCAAUUUUUCUCUCUACGUCCAGCCUCCCUCACCCGUGAAAAUGGGGAAGAGACCUUUGGCGUGAGGGAUAGGGAAGCAUGAAAUGGGAAAGAGGGGAAGACAGCAAGCUUGCGUCCAUGCACUUGUAAAGUCAACAUUGUACCCCUCCUACUUGUCCUGCAUGGAGGCAUGUAAGGGCUCUUUCUCUCUCCUUGCUUUUCUGCUCUCUUCUUCAUCCUCUCCUCUACCCUCUCUCCACGAUGGCGCCUGCAUAUAUAUGUGUGUGUGUGUGCGUGCGUCAUUGCCAG